This is a non-coding RNA of Acanthosepion pharaonis, 112 nucleotides long. NCBI's taxonomy places the organism in Eukaryota, Metazoa, Mollusca, Cephalopoda, Sepiida, Sepiidae. The record is from the annotation of a GenBank genome assembly.
ACGGCCACAUCACGUUGAAACCUCGGUUCCCGUAGAAUCACCGAAAUUAAAUAACAUCGAGCCUGGUCUGUACAUAGAUGGGUGACCCCUUGGAAAUACCAGGUGCUGUAAG